GGCAACUUUCCCUUUGCACAGGUUUUCAUAAAUCUCCCACUCAGUGUUUAUCCACUUCAUGAAUGGAAGACCAAGAUUGGAGGAUUAAUUCCCCACCCACUAUUAUUGAGCAAACAACAGUAACCACCAAGCUAUUAAGCUUCUCCUAUCCACCAUUGCUGAGGGAGUUUCAGCCAAUGAAGUCUGUUUGAAGUUCCUACACUAAUGUUGUGCCUAGAAAGUACAACAUAAUCGGAACUUGGUGAAGAAGAUGGAAGAAGACUGUACCUCUAGUGUCACUUUUAGACAUCUACUCUGCAUGUCAAUGUCUGACUUAUCAAACAGCCAUAAAAGCUAGAACAUAAAGGCACUUAAACAAGUCACCUUGAAGUCAGAGGUAAAGUAUUUGAUUCUUUAUAGGCCUCAAGUUAAUCCUCUCCAGCACUUCUGUGUCUCAGCAGCCUUCAUACAUCACGGUGACAGUAUCUUAAAACUAUAAGUGCACAGUUUAUAGAGGUAUAACAGUGUAACGAUAGCUGUGAUAACAUUGGGUCCUGUACUAGAAUCUUUUAUAAGGUAGCAUUUUUAAAUUUGUAAGAAAAACAUUUUAUUUAUUUUUUGUCUCAAACGAGGAUACAAAUCCAUACCGUCAAUACUGGAGAUGCACAUAACAAGACCUCACUAAGCCUUAUUAAGUGCGAGCAAAUGUCAACAUGUCCUGUAAAAUCUAAGUAAGUGCAAGCAUGUCUUGCUUUCUGUAGCAAAGAUUGACUUUUACAAACCGGAAUUUACAAAUAGUUUA
Molecule: long non-coding RNA, 781 nt
Organism: Hyla sarda
Lineage: Eukaryota; Metazoa; Chordata; Amphibia; Anura; Hylidae
Exons: 5
Source: RefSeq, a predicted model, not a curated record